AACGAACGCUGGCGGCAUGCCUAACACAUGCAAGUCGAACGAAGCCUUCGGGCUUAGUGGCGCACGGGUGCGUAACGCGUGGGAAUCUGCCCCUUGCUUCGGAAUAACAGUUAGAAAUGACUGCUAAUACCGGAUGAAGUCUUCGGACCAAAGAUUUAUCGGCAAGGGAUGAGCCCGCGUAGGAUUAGGUAGUUGGUGGGGUAAAGGCCUACCAAGCCGACGAUCCUUAGCUGGUCUGAGAGGAUGAUCAGCCACACUGGGACUGAGACACGGCCCAGACCCCUCGGGGAGGAAGAGGGGGGAAUUAUGGAAAAGGGGCCGCAAGUCUAACCCAGAAAGGCCGGGUGAGGAAUAAAGCCUUGGGGGUUGAAAAGCUUUUUUACAAGGGAGGAUAAUGACAGUACCUGAAAAAAAAGCCCCGGCAACCCCCGUG
This 433-nucleotide ribosomal RNA is filed under the name uncultured bacterium. Its description in RNAcentral is "partial 16S ribosomal RNA". It matches the Rfam family "Bacterial small subunit ribosomal RNA", at positions 29 to 507 of the family's 1533-position model. The record is from RNAcentral.